This 81-nucleotide transfer RNA is filed under the name Desulfofundulus thermobenzoicus. Its description in RNAcentral is "Desulfotomaculum thermobenzoicum tRNA". It matches the Rfam family "tRNA". Rfam says of the family: Transfer RNA (tRNA) molecules are approximately 80 nucleotides in length. RNAcentral also lists the same sequence under 1 other name. Lineage: Bacteria; Bacillati; Bacillota; Clostridia; Eubacteriales; Peptococcaceae. The record is from Rfam by way of RNAcentral.
GCGGGCGUGGCGGAAUGGCAGACGCGCCGGACUUAGGAUCCGGUGGGGCAACCCGUGGGAGUUCAAGUCUCCCCGCCCGCA